GAUGAACGCUGACAGAAUGCUUAACACAUGCAAGUCGAUGGGGAAGUGGUGCUUGCACCCUGGUAACCAUGGCGGACGGGUGAGUAACGCGUAAGGAACUUGCCUGCGGGACUGGGAUAACAGCAGGAAACUGCUGAUAAUACCGGAUAAGGUCAUUAAGCUGCAUAGCUUAGUGAUGAAAGGAGACGCCUGCGGAGAGCCUUGCGUCCUAUUAGCUAGUUGGAGGGGUAACGGCCCACCAAGGCGAAGAUAGGUAGCCGGCCUGAGAGGGUGGACGGCCACAAGGGGACUGAGAUACGGCCCUUAAUCCUACGGGAGGCAGCAGUGAGGAAUAGUGGACCAUGGGGGCAACCCUGAUCAAGCAGUUCUGUGUGCACGAUGACGGUUUUCGGAUUGUAAAGUGCUUUCAGCAGGGAAGAAGGAAGUGACGGUACCUGCAGAAGAAGCGACGGCUAAAUACGUG
Molecule: ribosomal RNA, 463 nt
Filed under: uncultured bacterium
Lineage: Bacteria
Description: partial 16S ribosomal RNA
Rfam family: Bacterial small subunit ribosomal RNA
Source: RNAcentral